RNAcentral lists this ribosomal RNA (440 nucleotides) under uncultured bacterium. Its description in RNAcentral is "partial 16S ribosomal RNA". It matches the Rfam family "Bacterial small subunit ribosomal RNA", at positions 338 to 795 of the family's 1533-position model. The record is from RNAcentral.
CCUACGGGUGGCAGCAGUGGGGAAUAUUGCACAAUGGGGGCAACCCUGAUGCAGCGACGCCGCGUGAGUGAGGACGUCUUUCGGUGUGUAAAGCUCUAUCAGCAGGGAAGAAAAUGACGGUACCUGACUAAGAAGCCCCGGCUAACUACGUGCCAGCAGCCGCGGUAAUACGGAGGGGGCCAGCGUUAUCCGGAUUUACUGGGGGUAAAGGGAGCGUAGACGGUUAAUCAAGUCAGAAGUGAAAACCCAGGGCUCAACCUCGGGACUGCUUUUGAAACUGAGUAGCUAGAGUGCAGGAGAGGUAGGCGGAAUGCCUGGUGUAGCGGUGAAAUGCGUAGAUAUUAGGAGGAACACCAGUGGCGAAGGCGGCUUACUGGACUGCAACUGACGUUGAGGCUCGAAAGCGUGGGGAGCAAACAGGAUUAGAUACCCUAGUAGUC